Molecule: ribosomal RNA, 465 nt
Filed under: Vreelandella stevensii
Lineage: Bacteria; Pseudomonadati; Pseudomonadota; Gammaproteobacteria; Oceanospirillales; Halomonadaceae
Description: partial 16S ribosomal RNA
Rfam family: Bacterial small subunit ribosomal RNA
Source: RNAcentral
CCUACGGUGUGCUGCAGUGGGGAAUAUUGGACAAUGGGCGAAAGCCUGAUCCAGCCAUGCCGCGUGUGUGAAGAAGGCCUUCGGGUUGUAAAGCACUUUCAGUGGGGAAGAAAGCCUUGGGGCUAAUACCCUCGAGGAAGGACAUCACCCACAGAAGAAGCACCGGCUAACUCCGUGCCAGCAGCCGCGGUAAUACGGAGGGUGCGAGCGUUAAUCGGAAUUACUGGGCGUAAAGCGCGCGUAGGCGGUCUGAUAAGCCGGUUGUGAAAGCCCCGGGCUCAACCUGGGAACGGCAUCCGGAACUGUCAGGCUAGAGUGCAGGAGAGGAAGGUAGAAUUCCCGGUGUAGCGGUGAAAUGCGUAGAGAUCGGGAGGAAUACCAGUGGCGAAGGCGGCCUUCUGGACUGACACUGACGCUGAGGUGCGAAAGCGUGGGUAGCAAACAGGAUUAGAUACCCUGGUAAUC